RNAcentral lists this long non-coding RNA (226 nucleotides) under Helianthus annuus (common sunflower). RNAcentral describes it as "sRNA HanXRQr2_Chr08g0317791". Lineage: Eukaryota; Viridiplantae; Streptophyta; Magnoliopsida; Asterales; Asteraceae. The record is from RNAcentral.
UAAAUCUACCAUUUUCAACUCAUAAACAAAUAUAUUCCAAACACUUUAAGGCCAUAACAAGAUCAUCUAAGGAACUAACAAGCAUGUAGCUACAAUAGGAGCUUUCUUGGAGCUUAAUCUUCUUCUAAUCUUCUUAUUUGGCUUGUGCAAAGUUAUAAUGAAAAGUGUUAUUGACACGUACGGACGCUCACUUCGAUAUCAUAGUACACGGAACGCAAACUUGUGA